This 345-nucleotide long non-coding RNA is filed under the name Salmo salar (Atlantic salmon). RNAcentral's name for it is "lncRNA (ENSSSAG00000100042.1)". The record is from RNAcentral. Lineage: Eukaryota; Metazoa; Chordata; Actinopteri; Salmoniformes; Salmonidae.
CUAGAACAAAGAGAGAGGUACAUUGACACCCUCAACCACCAGCUAGUCAUUAUGUCCUCUGCAUCUAGAGAACAUGUCGACCAGCUUGGGAUAACACAAGCAGAACCUGAGACCAGCAUGGCCUCCACCACACAGCCUGAUGACACUGCACCAGUCUCCCAGUCUGCUCCAGCCCAAGCCAACCAGCCUCCCAGUCUGCUCCAGCACAGAUAAAGGUCCCCCUGGUUAAAUGGUUGUCACUGAACCCCACCAUUGUCUGUUUCCAAUUCCCCAGCGUCAAGACUCGUGUCUGGGACGCACGAACAAAACGCCGCUAUUCGGAUAUAACGAUGGAUUAUUUGGGAC